Molecule: ribosomal RNA, 2479 nt
Filed under: Staphylococcus aureus M0306
Lineage: Bacteria; Bacillati; Bacillota; Bacilli; Caryophanales; Staphylococcaceae
Also listed under: 9 other names
Description: bacterial LSU rRNA
Rfam family: Bacterial large subunit ribosomal RNA
Source: RNAcentral
GGAAUCUGGGAGGACCAUCUCCUAAGGCUAAAUACUCUCUAGUGACCGAUAGUGAACCAGUACCGUGAGGGAAAGGUGAAAAGCACCCCGGAAGGGGAGUGAAAUAGAACCUGAAACCGUGUGCUUACAAGUAGUCAGAGCCCGUUAAUGGGUGAUGGCGUGCCUUUUGUAGAAUGAACCGGCGAGUUACGAUUUGAUGCAAGGUUAAGCAGUAAAUGUGGAGCCGUAGCGAAAGCGAGUCUGAAUAGGGCGUUUAGUAUUUGGUCGUAGACCCGAAACCAGGUGAUCUACCCUUGGUCAGGUUGAAGUUCAGGUAACACUGAAUGGAGGACCGAACCGACUUACGUUGAAAAGUGAGCGGAUGAACUGAGGGUAGCGGAGAAAUUCCAAUCGAACCUGGAGAUAGCUGGUUCUCUCCGAAAUAGCUUUAGGGCUAGCCUCAAGUGAUGAUUAUUGGAGGUAGAGCACUGUUUGGACGAGGGGCCCCUCUCGGGUUACCGAAUUCAGACAAACUCCGAAUGCCAAUUAAUUUAACUUGGGAGUCAGAACAUGGGUGAUAAGGUCCGUGUUCGAAAGGGAAACAGCCCAGACCACCAGCUAAGGUCCCAAAAUAUAUGUUAAGUGGAAAAGGAUGUGGCGUUGCCCAGACAACUAGGAUGUUGGCUUAGAAGCAGCCAUCAUUUAAAGAGUGCGUAAUAGCUCACUAGUCGAGUGACACUGCGCCGAAAAUGUACCGGGGCUAAACAUAUUACCGAAGCUGUGGAUUGUCCUUUGGACAAUGGUAGGAGAGCGUUCUAAGGGCGUUGAAGCAUGAUCGUAAGGACAUGUGGAGCGCUUAGAAGUGAGAAUGCCGGUGUGAGUAGCGAAAGACGGGUGAGAAUCCCGUCCACCGAUUGACUAAGGUUUCCAGAGGAAGGCUCGUCCGCUCUGGGUUAGUCGGGUCCUAAGCUGAGGCCGACAGGCGUAGGCGAUGGAUAACAGGUUGAUAUUCCUGUACCACCUAUAAUCGUUUUAAUCGAUGGGGGGACGCAGUAGGAUAGGCGAAGCGUGCGAUUGGAUUGCACGUCUAAGCAGUAAGGCUGAGUAUUAGGCAAAUCCGGUACUCGUUAAGGCUGAGCUGUGAUGGGGAGAAGACAUUGAGUCUUCGAGUCGUUGAUUUCACACUGCCGAGAAAAGCCUCUAGAUAGAAAAUAGGUGCCCGUACCGCAAACCGACACAGGUAGUCAAGAUGAGAAUUCUAAGGUGAGCGAGCGAACUCUCGUUAAGGAACUCGGCAAAAUGACCCCGUAACUUCGGGAGAAGGGGUGCUCUUUAGGGUUAACGCCCAGAAGAGCCGCAGUGAAUAGGCCCAAGCGACUGUUUAUCAAAAACACAGGUCUCUGCUAAACCGUAAGGUGAUGUAUAGGGGCUGACGCCUGCCCGGUGCUGGAAGGUUAAGAGGAGUGGUUAGCUUCUGCGAAGCUACGAAUCGAAGCCCCAGUAAACGGCGGCCGUAACUAUAACGGUCCUAAGGUAGCGAAAUUCCUUGUCGGGUAAGUUCCGACCCGCACGAAAGGCGUAACGAUUUGGGCACUGUCUCAACGAGAGACUCGGUGAAAUCAUAGUACCUGUGAAGAUGCAGGUUACCCGCGACAGGACGGAAAGACCCCGUGGAGCUUUACUGUAGCCUGAUAUUGAAAUUCGGCACAGCUUGUACAGGAUAGGUAGGAGCCUUUGAAACGUGAGCGCUAGCUUACGUGGAGGCGCUGGUGGGAUACUACCCUAGCUGUGUUGGCUUUCUAACCCGCACCACUUAUCGUGGUGGGAGACAGUGUCAAGCGGGCAGUUUGACUGGGGCGGUCGCCUCCUAAAAGGUAACGGAGGCGCUCAAAGGUUCCCUCAGAAUGGUUGGAAAUCAUUCAUAGAGUGUAAAGGCAUAAGGGAGCUUGACUGCGAGACCUACAAGUCGAGCAGGGUCGAAAGACGGACUUAGUGAUCCGGUGGUUCCGCAUGGAAGGGCCAUCGCUCAACGGAUAAAAGCUACCCCGGGGAUAACAGGCUUAUCUCCCCCAAGAGUUCACAUCGACGGGGAGGUUUGGCACCUCGAUGUCGGCUCAUCGCAUCCUGGGGCUGUAGUCGGUCCCAAGGGUUGGGCUGUUCGCCCAUUAAAGCGGUACGCGAGCUGGGUUCAGAACGUCGUGAGACAGUUCGGUCCCUAUCCGUCGUGGGCGUAGGAAAUUUGAGAGGAGCUGUCCUUAGUACGAGAGGACCGGGAUGGACAUACCUCUGGUGUACCAGUUGUCGUGCCAACGGCAUAGCUGGGUAGCUAUGUGUGGACGGGAUAAGUGCUGAAAGCAUCUAAGCAUGAAGCCCCCCUCAAGAUGAGAUUUCCCAACUUCGGUUAUAAGAUCCCUCAAAGAUGAUGAGGUUAAUAGGUUCGAGGUGGAAGCAUGGUGACAUGUGGAGCUGACGAAUACUAAUCGAUCGAAGACUUAAUCAA